This 253-nucleotide ribosomal RNA is filed under the name uncultured bacterium. RNAcentral describes it as "partial 16S ribosomal RNA". It matches the Rfam family "Bacterial small subunit ribosomal RNA", at positions 524 to 776 of the family's 1533-position model. The record is from RNAcentral.
UACGGAGGGUGCAAGCGUUAUCCGGAUUCACUGGGUUUAAAGGGUGCGUAGGUGGGCAGGUAAGUCAGUGGUGAAAUCUCCGGGCUUAACCCGGAAACUGCCAUUGAUACUAUCUGUCUUGAAUACCGUGGAGGUGAGCGGAAUAUGUCAUGUAGCGGUGAAAUGCUUAGAUAUGACAUAGAACACCAAUUGCGAAGGCAGCUCACUACACAAUUAUUGACUCUGAGGCACGAAAGCGUGGGGAUCAAACAGG